Molecule: long non-coding RNA, 1550 nt
Organism: Cornus florida
Lineage: Eukaryota; Viridiplantae; Streptophyta; Magnoliopsida; Cornales; Cornaceae
Exons: 2
Source: RefSeq, a predicted model, not a curated record
AGAACAAUGUAUAAUAUAUAUGAUUGUUACAUUAUUAUUGAAUCAAUAUUGCAUAAUUUCGCAUGGGGCAUGCGCCCUUGGGCUUUGGGAGGAUCUCUCUUUGGAUUGCAGAGAGGAUGCAUGUGCGCACAUGGAUAGCGGGUUUCAAGUUUCUAAAGCCCAAUUGCUCUCUCUCCUCUCUCCACCUCUCUCUCUCUCUCUCUCUCUCAGUUCCCCAUACUCCAUUCAUUGAAUCAUAUUAAAUGCAAAAAAAAAACACACACCCCCAUGAAUUUUUUAACUAUUUGUCGCCCAAUUGCUCUCUCUGCUCUUUCUCUAUAAACCAAAACGCACACGGACCAUUUUAUGAGUUUUUUCUGUUCCAAUUCAUUUUCAAUGAUGUCUGUUUCUAUAACCACCAUCCUUUUCCUCUUAUUUGCUUCGUUAUCGUCUGCAACAGACCCUUCGAUCAUUGAACAUCAUGAGAACAGAAUCGAGAAUUCCUCGGGUGGGAAUGAAGGGGAGGUGAUGGCUAUGUAUGAAUGGUGGUUGGCUGAGCAUGUUAAGGUGUACAAUGGGUUGGGAGAGCACGGAAAGAGGUUCGAGAUUUUUAAGGAUAAUUUGAGGUUUGUUGACGAACAUAACUCGGAGAACCGGACCUACAAGGUGGGUUUGAACCGGUUUGCUGAUCUGACCAAUAUAUGAAGAGUACCGGUCCAUCUAUUUGGGCACGAAGACUGACGCUAAGCGCCGGUUCUUGAAGUCCAAGAGCGUCGGCUGGCGUUACGCGGUUCGGGUCGGUUGGAGGGAGAAAGGUGCUGUUGCUCCCGUCAAAGAUCAAGGAAGUUGUGGGUAAUAAAGUUAAAAUGAGCUAAUUUUGAUUCACUAAAGCCUUUUUGGAGUCAAGCAAAGAUAUUCAAAAAAAAAAAAAAAAUGGCAAAAAAGAGGUCACAGCCCAUUGCUUGUAUAGUGUGUUUAUUCUUCAAAAACGGUCAAUCUCAGGCCUUUGAUGAUGUUCCCAAAGAUGAAGAAGCAAACCAAUGAGCUCGGGGCCAAAAUGGAGCUAAAUAGGGCUUAAAGGAAAUUUCCAACUCUUGGGGGAUCAAUCCCCCAGGGUGGGGGAUCGAUCCUCCAGGACUUGGCAACAUUAUAGGAUUUUCUUAUUGUUUGGGCUUAUUUUAUGAACUAUUGGGCUUUAAUGGGGUUAUUAUUUAUGGCCCAGUGAGCCUUUAGUUUAGAGUUAGUUUUUAUUUUAUUGAGGUGGAGAUUAUUAUUUUUUAUUAAGUUUUAAAUUCUGUACCGAUAUCACGUUCUCUCUGGAAAAACAAUCGAAAGAGGAGAAAAAGCAAGAACAAGCUAGGGUUUUGAGAAGAAGCUUAGAGAUGAUGAAGCAGAUGAUGGAACUUAUUGACACCUUGAAUCCAUCAACUAUAAGCGGCUAAAUCUUCUACUUAGGGUUGGAUAAACCCUAAGCAUGUAACCUAAUCUCUCUCUCUUUUCACUUUUUGGGAAUUUAUUUGUGUAAUUUUUGUAUAGCCUUGAAAUAUAAAUUAAUUCUUUCAUUUGAUUAU